This 449-nucleotide ribosomal RNA is filed under the name uncultured bacterium. RNAcentral describes it as "bacterial SSU rRNA". It matches the Rfam family "Bacterial small subunit ribosomal RNA", at positions 354 to 796 of the family's 1533-position model. The record is from RNAcentral.
GUCGAGAAUUUUUCACAAUGGGCGAAAGCCUGAUGGAGCGACGCCGCGUGGGGGAUGAAUGGCUUCGGCCCGUAAACCCCUGUCAUUCGCGAUCAACCCCUGCGAUUUAAAAGAUGGCAGGCUGAUAGUAGCGGAAGAGGAAGGGACGGCUAACUCUGUGCCAGCAGCCGCGGUAAUACAGAGGUCCCGAGCGUUGUUCGGAUUCACUGGGCGUAAAGGGUGCGUAGGUGGUGGCGUAAGUCGGAUGUGAAAUCUCGGAGCUCAACUCCGAAACGGCAUUGGAAACUGCGCUGCUAGAGGGUUGGAGGGGGGACUGGAAUUCUCGGUGUAGCAGUGAAAUGCGUAGAUAUCGAGAGGAACACCGGUGGCGAAGGCGAGUCCCUGGACAACACCUGACACUGAGGCACGAAAGCUAGGGGAGCAAACAGGAUUAGAAACCCUGGUAGUCC